RNAcentral lists this ribosomal RNA (500 nucleotides) under uncultured bacterium. RNAcentral describes it as "partial 16S ribosomal RNA". It matches the Rfam family "Bacterial small subunit ribosomal RNA", at positions 355 to 846 of the family's 1533-position model. The record is from RNAcentral.
UAGGGAAUCUUCCACAAUGGACGAAAGUCUGAUGGAGCAACGCCGCGUGAGUGAUGAAGGGUUUCGGCUCGUAAAACUCUGUUGUUGGAGAAGAACGGGUGUCAGAGUAACUGUUGACAUCGUGACGGUAUCCAACCAGAAAGCCACGGCUAACUACGUGCCAGCAGCCGCGGUAAUACGUAGGUGGCAAGCGUUGUCCGGAUUUAUUGGGCGUAAAGCGAGCGCAGGCGGUUUUUUAGGUCUGAUGUGAAAGCCUUCGGCUUAACCGGAGAAGUGCAUCGGAAACCGGGAGACUUGAGUGCAGAAGAGGACAGUGGAACUCCAUGUGUAGCGGUGAAAUGCGUAGAUAUAUGGAAGAACACCAGUGGCGAAGGCGGCUGUCUGGUCUGCAACUGACGCUGAGGCUCGAAAGCAUGGGUAGCGAACAGGAUUAGAUACCCUGGUAGUCCAUGCCGUAAACGAUGAGUGCUAAGUGUUGGAGGGUUUCCGCCCUUCAGUGC